GGCGAGUGAAGCGGGAAGAGCCCAGCACCGAAUCAUCCUCCUUUUGGUGGACGAACUGUGGUGUUUAGGACGUUCUUUUUUGCAUUGCUAUUGCGUCUGAGUCCUCCUGAUUGGGGCUAUCCCAUAGUGGGUGUAAGGCCUCUACCGAUGCAGAGCUUUGCUUUUUGAACUGUCCUUGGAGUCGGGUUGUUUGGGAAUGCAGCCCAAAGUGGGUGGUAAACUCCAUUUAAGGCUAAA
Molecule: ribosomal RNA, 237 nt
Filed under: Tomopteris sp. 2-IK-2017
Lineage: Eukaryota; Metazoa; Annelida; Polychaeta; Phyllodocida; Tomopteridae
Also listed under: 3 other names
Description: partial 28S ribosomal RNA
Rfam family: Eukaryotic large subunit ribosomal RNA
Source: RNAcentral